This 194-nucleotide small RNA is filed under the name Drosophila erecta. RNAcentral describes it as "GG26704". The record is from RNAcentral. Lineage: Eukaryota; Metazoa; Arthropoda; Insecta; Diptera; Drosophilidae.
CGUUCUACGAAUUCAUAUGUACGUUUUUAACCGACUAUAAAAAUACAUGAUGCCAAUCGGCGGUAAAGUUGGUUAUGCUGAUAUGACAGCAAUGUCAGAAAUUGAUGAAAUUGGAAUUAACCAAAAUCUAAACGUUAGAUACAACAGUGACAUAAUAUAUACUUAUACAGGAUCAAUACUACUGGCUGUAAAUC